RNAcentral lists this ribosomal RNA (440 nucleotides) under uncultured bacterium. RNAcentral's name for it is "partial 16S ribosomal RNA". It matches the Rfam family "Bacterial small subunit ribosomal RNA", at positions 338 to 795 of the family's 1533-position model. The record is from RNAcentral.
CCUACGGGUGGCUGCAGUGGGGAAUAUUGCACAAUGGGGGAAACCCUGAUGCAGCGACGCCGCGUGAAGGAAGAAGUAUUUCGGUAUGUAAACUUCUAUCAGCAGGGAAGAAAAUGACGGGACCUGACUAAGAAGCACCGGCUAACUACGGGCCAGCAGCCGCGGGAAUACGGAGGGGGCAAGCGUUAUCCGGAUUUACUGGGGGUAAAGGGAGCGGAGGCGGUUUAGCAAGUCAGAAGUGAAAGCCCGGGGCUCAACUCCGGGACUGCUUUUGAAACUGUUGAACUAGAGUGCAGGAGAGGUGAGUGGAAUUCCAAGUGUAGCGGUGAAAUGCGUAGAUAUUAGGAGGAACACCAGUGGCGAAGGCGGCUUACUGGACUGUAAAUGACGCUGAGGCGCGAAAGCGUGGGGAGCAAACAGGAUUAGAUACCCGGGUAGUC